AUGGUUUUUGUUUGUUUAAGGAAAUACCAGUUGGUAUUCUGCUACACCAUCAUUGAAAGGAACAACAGGCAAUUUUUGCCAGUCAUCAGAAGCAGCAGUGGGGGUGAUUCUGUACAGACUUGCACUAACCCGCUUGACAGUUUUUUCCCAUUUGAUCCUUACAUUCUCAAAAGAUCAAAGAAGACCAUUGAUCCUAUUUAUCAGAUUUGGGAAGAACUGAGUACUGAAGAUCUUCAAGAACUUAAGAAACCCUUU
Molecule: non-coding RNA, 255 nt
Organism: Chelonoidis abingdonii (Abingdon island giant tortoise)
Lineage: Eukaryota; Metazoa; Chordata; Testudines; Testudinidae
Source: RefSeq, a predicted model, not a curated record